This 393-nucleotide ribosomal RNA is filed under the name uncultured bacterium. RNAcentral describes it as "partial 16S ribosomal RNA". It matches the Rfam family "Bacterial small subunit ribosomal RNA", at positions 523 to 918 of the family's 1533-position model. The record is from RNAcentral.
AUACGGAGGAUCCGAGCGUUAUCCGGAUUUAUUGGGUUUAAAGGGUGCGCAGGCGGGAGAUUAAGUCGGCGGUGAAAUUUUGCAGCUCAACUGUAAAAGUGCCUUCGAAACUGGUUUUCUUGAGUGUAGAUGAAGUAGGCGGAAUUUGUGGUGUAGCGGUGAAAUGCAUAGAGAUCACGAGGAACUCCGAUUGCGCAGGCAGCUUACUAAACUACUACUGACGCUCAGGCACGAAGGCGUGGGGAUCAAACAGGAUUAGAUGCCCUGGUAGUCCACGCAGUAAACGAUGAUUACUAGCUGUUUGCGAUACAAUGUAAGCGGCUGAGCGAAAGCGUUAAGUAAUCCACCUGGGGAGUACGUUCGCAAGAAUGAAACUCAAAUGAAUUGACGGGG